AAAUGAAGUGGAGAAGCAGACUCUGAGGGCUUUGCAGUCCAGGCACCUUGGAGGAGGAAUAUCUGGCACCAAAUUUGUGUAGAUCAGUGGGUGUUUACUGAGACUGGACUAUUUUUCAGAAGACAGGACUUUUGUCAAUAUUUGAACCCUAAAGAUGCCAGUUUGCAAAUUGAUAUUUUCUUUACGUGUAUAUUUUACAAAAUUAUAGAAAAUGCAAAGGAUAAUUUUCCUGUCCUGCUUUCACAGAAAAAUGUAAGUGACCCAUGAUGUAACUAUUAAUUAUUCCCACA
RNAcentral lists this long non-coding RNA (290 nucleotides) under Lonchura striata (white-rumped munia). RNAcentral's name for it is "domestica (Bengalese finch) lncRNA (ENSLSDG00000009374.1)". The record is from RNAcentral. Lineage: Eukaryota; Metazoa; Chordata; Aves; Passeriformes; Estrildidae.